GGUGGCUAAGUGGUAGAGCGCUUGCCUUGCGUGCACGAGGCCCUGGGUUCGAUUCCUCAGCACCA
This 65-nucleotide transfer RNA is filed under the name Dipodomys ordii (Ord's kangaroo rat). It matches the Rfam family "tRNA". From Rfam's summary of the family: Transfer RNA (tRNA) molecules are approximately 80 nucleotides in length. Their secondary structure includes four short double-helical elements and three loops (D, anti-codon, and T loops). Lineage: Eukaryota; Metazoa; Chordata; Mammalia; Rodentia; Heteromyidae. The record is from Rfam by way of RNAcentral.